ACAUCCUUAACCUCUUCAGCCCCCUCCGCCCCGGCUUCUCGGACUCCCACAGUUUCUGAGAGGACCGCCAUCACCAUCCCAGGAUCCCCAUAUCCCACCGACGAGGAACCCCACAGCACAACACAUCUCAGGAUGGGGCUCCAGCUGUGCCCCGAUGCGUUCAUUCAAGAGAGGAGAAUGAAUGAGCGUAAGGGGGCGACUUUCCUUCUGACAUUGCCCACCACCUGCGUGUUGGCUGUGCCGUGCCAGCAGCAUUUUGUCCUCGAGCUGUGAGUGCAGGUAUGCGUGCAUACGGGGGUGUGCAGAGAUGGUGCUGAACAUCAGAGCGUGCAUUGCGCGUGGCUGUGUGCACAGUGCUUGCAGGUGAAAGUUUUGCAUCUGUGUGCAUGCACAUGGCAGUGUGCAAGGCUGGAGCAGUGGUCGAGUCUUCGUGCUCGUGGUUGUGCAGAGGGAUGGGGUGCACACAUGUGAAAACAUAGCAGGCACUGCAAAGGAAACAGCUCCAUCCCAGCCACAACAGUGACAGGCAGGCAGGCACUGGGGAGGGCUGCACGGCAGAGGGACGCCCUCUGAGUGCCACAACCUGGAGCGCUGUCUGCAAGCAGAACAGUGCCGGAAUGGCAGCCUGGUGGUCCUAAGCUGCAGAGAUGCUGCUCUGGACCAACAGCCUGUCAUUUUUUCAGAAAAUGCCGUCCUUUUGCUGAACUUUGCUCGUUGUAAACCCCUCAUCACAGCAAAAAACGCUCGGUGCUGCCCUGGGAAACUCAGCAAUCUCCACAGCGUUGCUCUCCAAGUUUGCACGCUCAUGGCCAGGCUUUGUUCCCUGCAGCUCUUUGCACGUGCUUUGCAGACAGUCUGUUUGUGGGCAGUGCAAAGGACUGCUGCCUCCGUUGCAUCACUGGACGGCAGCAUUCGCUGACGGAGCUGUGGCAGUUCUGAGCGAGCGCCGCGAGACCAAUAACGAGGAGGUGGUGCAGCAGCUCUCCGAGUGCCGCUGGACAAAUCAGGCCGUGCGCUCUUUGUGAAUCUAUAAAUUUGACUGGUGUUUAUUGACUACGUUUGAAGGUGGAGUGCUGAGAUGGGCGGCACUCAGCGCUGCCCUGUAACGCCGCGCACUGCAGAAGCUGCUGCCUGCUGACGCUCCUCCUCUC
This 1151-nucleotide long non-coding RNA is filed under the name Gallus gallus (chicken). RNAcentral describes it as "lncRNA (ENSGALG00010029063.1)". The record is from RNAcentral. Lineage: Eukaryota; Metazoa; Chordata; Aves; Galliformes; Phasianidae.